AUACUUCUUUGUCAUUUAUUAAAGGGAAAUAAGACUGGAAUACCUCUGGUGCCAUGGCUACAGUGUAGAGUUCUCCUUUUAAUGUCACCUAGAAUGACUAAUACAUGCGUAGCUUUUUCGUAGGUCUUACUUCCUUGUUGGGUGAAAAACAUGGCUAUGAAGAUUAUUACAAAGGGUUAAACUUCUAGUAAAGAUCCGAAAUCAAGUCCAAGUAAUUUUGAAAUGGAAGAAAACACGAUGCCAAAGAUUUACUUUGAUCCCGAGGCACAUACUUCAAAUGGAGUGAUAUACAAUUAUAUUACAGAUGAAAACCUUUUAUCUAAACUUAUAGAACUUGUCGGCGUAAAUAAGAAGAUUAAAACGGUGUGGACAUAUAGAUCGCCUCUGUAUAUGUGGUAUAAUACUAGUUUUUGGCCUCAACGUACGUUUGUAGUUAUUCAAACUAACAACUGGUGGUGGUCUAUUGACAAACAAUCAGACGGUAUUACGAUAUAGCGCAGCAAUCAAUUCAAAUCCGUGGUGAACUAUUACAAACAAAAACAUCGUUAUAACCUGACAAAACUAGCAGAGACUAAAGGUAGAAUGGGAGUGUAUGAGCUAAUUGAAUUGUUAUAUUGCGAGGACGAACUGACUUGCAAGCACGAGAUAGUUUUCAAUAACCGCACAGUCUUUGCUGAUCGGAUAUUUGAAUAUGUGAAAAAUCCACGUCAUUUCGGAGGAAAAAAAAAAGGUACAUUUUAUGUCUUGAAGAUACAAAUGAAUAUGAUGAGAAAAAACAGCCGUAUGACAACAGGAGAACUUAUGUCUCAGUGCGUGAAAUGUAAAGAAAUGACAGAAGACAUUGACGUAUUCCGGCUUUGUGUAUUGGUACCACCGAUACGCAUAUUUGUUGUUUGUAAAACCAAAACAUGGAUUUGAUGCAUCGAAAAUAGUUCAAAUAUUAUAAUAAUUCGUCGAUUUGAUUCGGAAACAUCGUUAAAUAACAGAUUUAUGAACAAUACUAGUUCUCUUAGUGAAAUCAUUUGCAUUAAAGAAGAUGCCGGCAAUUUGACAAUCCAUAAACUUAUCGAAUGACUAUGUAAAGAAGAUUCGUUUAAGAAAAGGUGCAACGGAGUUCCGGCUUUUGUCGAGAUCUUACGAUGUAUUUGACCACGUGGAAUUAGAAAAAAAUAGAAGUUUAAACAUGAUGUUAUGAAUUUAAAUGCGCUUACAAUAUAAAUGGAUUAUUAUAUUAUAA
This is a long non-coding RNA of Dreissena polymorpha, 1237 nucleotides long. RefSeq lists it as uncharacterized. The record is from RefSeq and is a predicted model, not a curated record. The transcript has 2 exons. Lineage: Eukaryota; Metazoa; Mollusca; Bivalvia; Myida; Dreissenidae.